UACGAAGGGUGCAAGCGUUACUCGGAAUUACUGGGCGUAAAGCGUGCGUAGGUGGUUCGUUAAGUCUGAUGUGAAAGCCUUGGGCUCAACCUGGGAAUGGCAUUGGAUACUGGCGACCUAGAGUGCGGUAGAGGGUGGCGGAAUUCCCGGUGUAGCAGUGAAAUGCGUAGAUAUCAGGAGGAACACCAAUGGCGAAGGCAGCUCGCUGGAACGGUACUGACGCUGAGGCGCGAAAGCGUGGGGAGCGAACAGG
This 253-nucleotide ribosomal RNA is filed under the name uncultured bacterium. Its description in RNAcentral is "partial 16S ribosomal RNA". It matches the Rfam family "Bacterial small subunit ribosomal RNA", at positions 524 to 776 of the family's 1533-position model. The record is from RNAcentral.